UACGUAGGGUGCGAGCGUUAAUCGGAAUUACUUGGCGUAAAGCGUGCGCAGGCGGUUUUGUAAGCCAGAUGUGAAAUCCCCGGGCUUAACCUGGGAAUGGCAUUUGGGACUGCAAGGCUGGAGUGUGGCAGAGGAGACUGGAAUUCCUGGUGUAGCAGUGAAAUGCGUAGAUAUCAGGAGGAAUACCGAUGGCGAAGGCAGGUCUCUGGGCUAACACUGACGCUCAUGCACGAAAGCGUGGGGAGCAAACAGG
This 253-nucleotide ribosomal RNA is filed under the name uncultured bacterium. RNAcentral's name for it is "partial 16S ribosomal RNA". It matches the Rfam family "Bacterial small subunit ribosomal RNA", at positions 524 to 776 of the family's 1533-position model. The record is from RNAcentral.